RNAcentral lists this ribosomal RNA (255 nucleotides) under uncultured bacterium. RNAcentral describes it as "partial 16S ribosomal RNA". It matches the Rfam family "Bacterial small subunit ribosomal RNA", at positions 524 to 776 of the family's 1533-position model. The record is from RNAcentral.
UACGUAGGGUGCGAGCGUUGUCCGGAAUUAUUGGGCGUAAAGAGCUUGUAGGCGGUUUGUCGCGUCUGCUGUGAAAUCUCAAGGCUCAACCUUGAGCUUGCAGUGGGUACGGGCAGACUAGAGUGUGGUAGGGGAGACUGGAAUUCCUGGUGUAGCGGUGAAAUGCGCAGAUAUCAGGAAGAACACCGAUGGCGAAGGCAGUUCUCUGGGGCCGUAACUGACGCUGAGGAGCGAAAAGCGUGGGGAGCGAACAGG